RNAcentral lists this transfer RNA (69 nucleotides) under Channa burmanica. The record is from RNAcentral. Lineage: Eukaryota; Metazoa; Chordata; Actinopteri; Anabantiformes; Channidae.
AGGACCGUGCCUGAAACAAAGGGCCAUUUUGAUGUAGUGGUUCAUGAAAGUUAAAGUCUUUCCGAUCCU